AACGAACGCUGGCGGCAUGCCUAACACAUGCAAGUCGAACGAGACCUUCGGGUCUAGUGGCGCACGGGUGCGUAACGCGUGGGAACCGGCCCUUAGGUUCGGAAUAACUCCCCGAAAGGGGUGCUAAUACCGGAUAAUGUCUUCGGACCAAAGAUUUAUCGCCUUUGGAUGGGCCGGCGUUGGAUUAGCUAGUUGUUAGGGUAAAAGCCUACCAAGGCGACGAUCCAUAGCUGGUCUGAGAGGAUGAUCAGCCACACUGGGACUGAGACACGGCCCAGACUCCUACGGGAGGCAGCAGUGGGGAAUAUUGGAACAUCGGCGAAAGCCUGAUGCAGCAAUGCCGCGUGAGUGAUGAAGGCCUUAGGGUUGUAAAGCUCUUUUAACCGGGAUGAUAAUGACAGUACCGGGAGAAUAAGCCCCGGCUAACUACGUG
This 433-nucleotide ribosomal RNA is filed under the name uncultured bacterium. RNAcentral's name for it is "partial 16S ribosomal RNA". It matches the Rfam family "Bacterial small subunit ribosomal RNA", at positions 29 to 507 of the family's 1533-position model. The record is from RNAcentral.